RNAcentral lists this ribosomal RNA (253 nucleotides) under uncultured bacterium. RNAcentral describes it as "partial 16S ribosomal RNA". It matches the Rfam family "Bacterial small subunit ribosomal RNA", at positions 524 to 776 of the family's 1533-position model. The record is from RNAcentral.
UACAGAGGUCUCGAGCGUUAGGCGGAAUCACUGGGCUUAAAGCGUGUGUAGGCGGAUCGGUAAGUACCUUGUGAAAUCCCACAGCUUAACUGUGGAACUGCUUGGUAUACUGCCAGUCUUGAGCCACUUAGGGGCUACCGGAACAAACGGUGGAGCGGUGAAAUGCGUAGAUAUCGUUUGGAACGCCAAUGGUGAAAACAGGUAACUGGGAGUGUGCCGACGCUGAGACACGAAAGCCAGGGGAGCGAACGGG